Drosophila miranda is the source of this 476-nucleotide long non-coding RNA. RefSeq lists it as uncharacterized. The record is from RefSeq and is a predicted model, not a curated record. The transcript has 2 exons. NCBI's taxonomy places the organism in Eukaryota, Metazoa, Arthropoda, Insecta, Diptera, Drosophilidae.
ACGUUACACACAUCCACUUUUACCACAAAUCUAAUAUACCCCAAUACUCAUUUUGAGUAUCGGGUAUAAAAAGCGGACCAGUAAAUCUAACGAAACCCAUAUCAAUGUGAAAAGGAGUUGUGCAACAGUUAACCUUGUCAUCGUUUAGAAAUGCUUCUUAGCAUGAAGUGGGAGAGACCAUGAAAAUCCUAUUCGUUCCAGGUAAAAAUAAACUGUAUAAAUAGGGUGCUCUAAACGGGAACUUGUCAUUCGUAUUCAGCGAUCACUAAAACCAUAAUGAAGCUCUACCUUGGAAUCCUUCUGGCCGUUGUCUUGCCGCUCCUUGUGGCUGGACACCCCUCCAAGUCCCCGAAGGGUGAUUCGCCAACAGGAGCACCCUAAGCGGAUGUUCCACUUUCGCCUUCACAAAGCCGUUGUGGACUUGCCUUAAUCUUGCAGAUGAUUUUAGUUGAUCAAUAAAUCAGGCUUUUACAUUA